UACGGAGGGGGCUAGCGUUGUUCGGAAUUACUGGGCGUAAAGCGCUCGUAGGCGGCUUUGUAAGUUAGAGGUGAAAUCCCGGGGCUCAACCCCGGGCGUGCAGUGGAUACGGGCUGGCUAGAGGCAGGCAGGGGAGAACGGAAUUCCCGGUGUAGCGGUGAAAUGCGCAGAUAUCGGGAGGAACACCGGUGGCGAAGGCGGUUCUCUGGGCCUGUACUGACGCUGAGGAGCGAAAGCGUGGGGAGCGAACAGG
RNAcentral lists this ribosomal RNA (253 nucleotides) under uncultured bacterium. RNAcentral's name for it is "partial 16S ribosomal RNA". It matches the Rfam family "Bacterial small subunit ribosomal RNA", at positions 524 to 776 of the family's 1533-position model. The record is from RNAcentral.